Molecule: long non-coding RNA, 1741 nt
Filed under: Homo sapiens (human)
Lineage: Eukaryota; Metazoa; Chordata; Mammalia; Primates; Hominidae
Description: HSALNT0383283
Source: RNAcentral
UAAAGCUCUUCUCCAUCUUGCUAAGCCUCCAUUUGUCCGCAAUACCUCAUCUCCCUGGACGCAGGACAAGAACUCAGGACCCGCCUGGAGGUGCCCACAGCAGAAUCCACAUGCCGUCCAUCUGGUCCAGCCUCACGCAGAGCCACAACUGUGCUGGCGCCUGGAGCUGCCAGCCCCACUGCAGCAGCCGGACUGACAUUCAGACGUGGAGCAAGUUGGACUGCAUAGGGACCCACCAGUGAGAUGGACGCUGUCUGUAAACGACUUUCACUGAAUGUGCUAAGAAGAGAAACCCCUCUGCAGACACACACAGACGUUCUGCAGUUUCCCAAUCUCUGGUGCAGUUCUGGCCUUUUGGGGCUUUAAGGGCUUUGGCUAAGGUUCUCCAGGGAGGCUGCUCUGCCAAGUCUGGUAUUUCAUGAAUAGAUCUGAAAACAGACAUUAUCUCUUCUCCCAGUGAAGAGAGAGCGAUGAAGCCUCAGGACAAAAGGAGGCAGUGGGAUGAUGCCACCAAGGGACCAUUCUGAAGAGCCAUCAGCAAAAAGCAGCCACACCUGCUUAUGUGGCUCUGGGACAAAUGAUCUGAGCCGUGACGUGGAACUUAGAUGCAGUAAAGUCCAUUGUAUUGAGCCUUCUCUGGCACUCCUCCCAAAACAGAGAGACAACAGUUCUGUUAUGUUUUGUUUGGUUUGGUCUCCCUCAACUCAUCAAUGAGCCUUUUUAAAAAGAAUAAUUCGGUACUUUCUUUAAAGGUGGUAGAAUUGGCUCUUACUCUAGUCUGUUUUCUCCUUCCUAAGGGAGGAGCAUCCUUCUUGUUAACACAGAACCCCAAACUAUCUGAUCAGAAAGAAAAUAAUUCAAUCUGCUGUUUGAAUUGACUUCCAGCAGCGUCUUAAAUUUUAAUUGGCCCCCGGCCUAAAACAACCUCAAACUGUAUGUCUUCCAUACUCCUCUCACCACCACCAUCACCACUGCCCCUACAACCACUCUAAGCAUAGUACAUAUGGUGAACAUACCAUGAUAUUGAAUGCUAUUCUCACUCUGCCUUCUCUUAAUCUGAUCUUACUCAGGUUCUGACAGUUGACGCUGAAAACAUUUUUUGUUGUUGUUGUGGUUGAGACAGAGUUUCGCACUUGUUGCCCAGGCUGGAGUACAGUGGUGCGAUCUCGGCUCACUGCAACCUCCGCCUCCCGGGUUCAAGUGAUUCUCCUGCCUCAGCUCCCCAAGUAGCUGGGAUUACAGGCAUGUGCCACCAUGCCUGACUAAGUUUGUAUUUUUAGUAGAGACGGGGUUUCUCCAUGUUGGUCAGGCUGAUCUCGAACUCCCGACCUCAGGUGAUCCGCCUGCCUCGGCCUCCCAAAGUGCUGGGAUUACUGGUGUGAGCCACCAUGCCCGGCCAUGACACUGAAAACAUUUUAAAGGAGAAACAGAUUACCAAUUAUCCAUAAAGAUGAGAAUUAUCUGGCAACAUUUUGGUUAGAUGAAAACUGUGACUAGAGAGCUAACAAAAACAAACACAAUGAGCACUAGAUAUCUGCCAGGCAUUGUUCACAGCCCCUUUUUUGGUCUCAUCUGAUCCUUGCUGUAGAUCAGGAAUCAACAAACUAAGCUUUCACCACUUGUCAGGGGUAAAGCCAUGUCAGUCUGAGUCCCAAUGCCACACUGUUAGCCACUCUCCCACACCACCUGCUCCAACUAUUUGAAGAAGGAGAAUGUUUUUCCAGUUAAUAAAGUUAAUAGU